This 22-nucleotide non-coding RNA is filed under the name Arabidopsis thaliana (thale cress). The record is from RNAcentral. Lineage: Eukaryota; Viridiplantae; Streptophyta; Magnoliopsida; Brassicales; Brassicaceae.
UUAAGAUAGUGUCUUCUCCGAC